CCUCUCCUUCUUCCUUCAUCUUCUAAUUCAAGAGAAAACAAAGCUUCUUUUCAUUACUCAAAUCUUGUGAUUCCCCAAAAGGAAGAAAGAAUUUUUUUUUUCCCUCAAAACCCUAUAUCUCUUUCCAUAUCAUUUUGAGUUCUGCUCAUAGUUGGAAUUUUCAAGUUGCUUUCAUCUUCCAAGAAGUGCAGAAGUUGGGGGAUUUACUGAAGUUAAAGGGAUUCCAGUGGAUAAAGGUACAGACAAAACUGCUGAGGAGCUAGGAAAUGUUGAGCAGGGAGGGGCCGAUGUUUAGUAGUCCGUGGGUAGUUUGGUUUCUUUUUGAUGAUGGCAUAUGUUUCUUAUGUUUUGAUACUGGACCCCACACGGGGAUGUUUAAUUGAGUUAACUUUUGGACAAGAUACCUUUGGGUAUAAUGUAUAUUUUAUGGUGGGGUGAUGGAAACCCCUCCUGCUUUAAGUUAGUUUCUUUUGUAAGGACUGUAUGGACUGAGUCCUUUUUUGUUUAAAAUAGUUACGUUAAAUGAAGGGAUGACGGACUCUGAGAGUCCUUUAUAAAUGAA
This is a long non-coding RNA of Carya illinoinensis, 562 nucleotides long. RefSeq lists it as uncharacterized. NCBI's taxonomy places the organism in Eukaryota, Viridiplantae, Streptophyta, Magnoliopsida, Fagales, Juglandaceae. The record is from RefSeq and is a predicted model, not a curated record. The transcript is spliced from 3 exons.